RNAcentral lists this small RNA (727 nucleotides) under Theobroma cacao (cacao). Its description in RNAcentral is "sRNA Tc02v2_g017460". Lineage: Eukaryota; Viridiplantae; Streptophyta; Magnoliopsida; Malvales; Malvaceae. The record is from RNAcentral.
GAGCUUUCAGGAUGUUGGUCUUCCACUUUUAUCAUGGAAAAGCCCAUGGAAAGCCAGGUUCCUAAAGGGGCCGAACCCGAAAUCUGGGCUAGUAGUAGGCCUCAAACUCAACAUGGACCAACCCCGUGAUUGUGAGACUGUGACAAGGAAAGUCUUCUCUGUUCUUGCGGCUUAUCGUGUUCGUCCAUCAAUCCUGAUCAAAGGACGCAAGCGUUCUUCAGGCUAUCCAGCUUUGCUGAUUAAGAGGUCACUAGAAUGGGCAACAACACUGAUCUGCAGUUUUGGUGAUGAUAGGACAUGAAUUUUUAUGUGGUGACAAAGUUUCACGUAUUGCGAGCAGAUUGGCGGACCCAUGGCAAUACUAGCAUUUCAAAAGGCUCUGUUGAUCGAUUCUUCAUCAUAUAUAGCCAGAAUUACCAAUUGCUGCAAGUGCUUUCUGCGCCAGCCAUGGUGCCUAUUUGGUCGUCAACUGUGACAUGUGUAAAAGGAAAAGGUUUCCUCUUUUUCCACUGUCGAACAAGAGCCACGUGUUGUGGCCAACAUUGUCUGCACGUUCCAAAAUCAUUUCCUUUUCACGGGUUAUACAGGAACGGCAUGCUGUGUUUAUCUGGCUUUCCAACCAUUUAGGGCAAUUUUAUGAAUUCAUGUUUUUUUACACAUUCAAAUGCUUAUGUCCCAUGAUGGAUGCGAAUAUAUACCUUGAAAAAAAAGAGUCACGUAGUCUUCA